RNAcentral lists this transfer RNA (74 nucleotides) under Channa marulius (great snakehead). RNAcentral's name for it is "tRNA-Leu". Lineage: Eukaryota; Metazoa; Chordata; Actinopteri; Anabantiformes; Channidae. The record is from RNAcentral.
UGUUAGGGUGGCAGAGCCCGGCCACUGCUAAAGACCUAAGCUCUUUCCACAGAGGUUCAAGUCCUCUCCCUAAC